Non-coding RNA from Panus rudis PR-1116 ss-1, 100 nucleotides. Lineage: Eukaryota; Fungi; Basidiomycota; Agaricomycetes; Polyporales; Panaceae. The record is from the annotation of a GenBank genome assembly.
GACCCCAUAGCUCAGUGGUAGAGCGUGAGAUUCCAGUCAGUUUAGUAAUCCUUCGUGACUUGACUCCUCAAGGCCAUCCGUUCGAUCCGGGUUGGGGUCA